Molecule: ribosomal RNA, 254 nt
Filed under: uncultured bacterium
Lineage: Bacteria
Description: partial 16S ribosomal RNA
Rfam family: Bacterial small subunit ribosomal RNA
Source: RNAcentral
CACGUAGGGUGCGAGCGUUGUCCGGAAUUACUGGGCGUAAAGCGCGCGCAGGCGGCUCUUUAAGUCUCGUGGUCAAAUGCCGGGGCUCAACCCCGAGCGUGCCGGGGAUACUGGAGGGCUGGAGACAGGUAGAGGCAAGCGGAAUUCCGGGUGUAGCGGUGGAAUGCGUAGAGAUCCGGAAGAACACCGGAGGCGAAGGCGGCUUGCUGGACCUGGUCUGACGCUGAGGCGCGAAAGCGUGGGGAGCGAACAGG